Molecule: transfer RNA, 65 nt
Filed under: Congella cf. valida DA-2011
Lineage: Eukaryota; Metazoa; Arthropoda; Insecta; Coleoptera; Scarabaeidae
Description: tRNA-Leu
Source: RNAcentral
CUAUUUUGGCAGAUUAGUGCUUUAAAUUUAGAAUUUAAUUAUGUGUUAUUAAAUACAAAUAGUAC